UCGAGAAUUUUUCACAAUGGGCGCAAGCCUGAUGGAGCGACGCCGCGUGGGGGAUGAAGGGCUUCGGCUCGUAAACCCCUGUCAUUUGCGAACAAGGGCGCCGACCUAAUACGUCGUCGCUUGAUAGUAGCAGAAGAGGAAGGGACGGCUAACUCUGUGCCAGCAGCCGCGGUAAUACAGAGGUCCCAAGCGUUGUUCGGAUUCACUGGGCGUAAAGGGUGCGUAGGUGGUGGUUUAAGUCGGGUGUGAAAUCUCCGGGCUCAACCCGGAGCAUGCGCCCGAAACUGAUCCGCUAGAGGAUGGGAGGGGAGACUGGAAUUCUCGGUGUAGCAGUGAAAUGCGUAGAUAUCGAGAGGAACACCGGUGGCGAAGGCGAGUCUCUGGACCAUUCCUGACACUGAGGCACGAAAGCCGGGGGAGCAAACAGG
RNAcentral lists this ribosomal RNA (428 nucleotides) under uncultured Verrucomicrobiota bacterium. Its description in RNAcentral is "bacterial SSU rRNA". It matches the Rfam family "Bacterial small subunit ribosomal RNA", at positions 355 to 776 of the family's 1533-position model. Lineage: Bacteria; Pseudomonadati; Verrucomicrobiota. The record is from RNAcentral.